UCCAGCCGCCGCGAACUCCUGAUGCCCGUCUCCAGCGCCUCCAAAGCUUCACUGUGCUUCCACAGGUGAGCCGCCAGUUGCUGGUGGGGGUGAGACACGAGCGCACACGCGUUCCACCGGGCCCGACUCUCAGAAGUGAACAUCACCCUGGCCUUUCGUGGCUUCCUUUCAUUCUACUUCGAGCUUUCCCAUUCGCUAUUGAUUUCAUUAUUUCCGUUAGGCUCUCGGGAUGAAGAAAAAACCUCUAGGGAAGCAUUAUGCGUUUGAAUUGGCAUAGGAGACGUAUAUGCCAUAUUAGAGGCUCCUGAGGCUUCUCCUUGACUGGUCUGGGAGCUUCCUUAUGAAAAGCCAGUUUUAGCAAAAAUCCUACUAAGCCUAACUGGAACCCCCGGCCCUUGACGUCUGGCCACCCUUGACAUUGGGUUCCUCAUCUCUUACCAUCCCCAGGUGACGUGCGAUCACCUUGUCUUCAGCAAAGAAUCCUGUCUGGUUGGUUCAGCCAGAACCCUAUUUAUCCCCGAUGUUUCCUCUUUGUACCUUCCCAUCCUCUGACCCCCACCCUGCCCCUUGGCUAGAAGUCCCCGCUUGCCCACGCUGUAUUCAGAGUUGAGCCCAGUCUCUCUCCCCCACAGCAGUGGACCCUACCCAGUCCCAAUGGUCCUGAAUAAAGUCUGCUUUACUAUAUUUAACACAUGCUGUUGAAUAUUCCCUUCUUGUAAUAGCUGGUGGAGACUGACGAGGGUAAGAGGAUAGAGGGUUUGAGAAUAGAGCAUUAAAGGAGGAAUUAAGUCCUUACAGGAGGUGGGGAAUCGCAAGGUAAGGGUAGAUUCCCUUACCUUACAGGUAAGGGUAACAAGAUGGCACAAGAACAUCCAGGACAAGAGAACAGCAGUUGUCCUCAAGACUUCCUUCCCGGGAGUGGGCUUGCCGUCCAUGUGCUGCCCACCCCACAUCUACAUUUCCACGCUCCCCAAAGGCUCCACAAAGAGCCUGAAACGUUGUGAGUCCAAGUGGAAACCCAACACCGCCUGCCUCAAGUGGGGCCGCCCCAUGAUUCUGUAACCUCAGGAUGGAUGCCGCCACCAGCCGGUUAUCCAGGAUGGAAAAACCAGGAAAACAUUCCGGAUUCCAUUUUUUUUUUUGAAUCCUUCACCAAGUCCUUCUGAUUCUAUCUCCUAAAAACGUCAAGGCUGUUACCAUCUUUCUCUGCACAGUCACUGCCCUGGUUCUGGCUUUGUGUCCACCCUGCCCCCCCCCCGCCCCAACCUACUGUGGUGGUGUCUCCAUCGGGACCUCUGCCUCCACGCCUCACCCCUCCACGCCUCCAGAGUCCUCAGCAGGGCACAUGGGGCCCUUAGGAUAUAACCCUCCCCCCCUCCACUGUGCUUCUUGCCACCUCACCCCAGGUGAGCAACCUGAACAACCUACACUUGACUGCCCGGCUCAUGCCCAGAGCCUCUGCACGUGACACGCCCCUUAGGAGCCCUGCCCGGCCUCAGCAACCCCCUCAACACCCACCCGCCUCCACCAGUUAGGGACUCCUCUAUCUUCUGUACUUCUGCCGUAUGUGUCCAUCUCAGCCCUUGUCACGUGGUGUCCCCUGCUGGGUUUAGUGACUACUUUUAUUUUGAAAUACAGAUUCAUAGGAGCUUACACAGGAAUGUACAGGGAGGUCCUGCACCCAGCCUCCCCCAGGGCUAACAUCUCGUGUAACUAUAGCACAACACCAACACCAGGAAAUUAACACUGGUAUGAUCCGGAGUUUACUCAGACUCUACCAGUUAAAUGUGCCCCCGUGCGUGUGUGUACACGUGCAGCUCCAGGCCGUGUUACCACAUGCGCUGUUCCCGAGUUGACCUUAAGAGUGCACAUCGGUCAUGCUCCUGCAUCCUCGGGGCCUGAUACACACAUAGGCACUCAGUAAAUGCCUGCUGCCUGCAUGCCUUAAUGAGCAAAUGAAGGGUGCCUGGCUGGCUCAGUUGGCAGCAUGUGACCCUUGAUCUUGGGGUUGUGAGCUGGAGCCCCGCAUUGGGAGUAGAGGUCACUUCAAAACAAAACAAAACAAAACAAAACAAAAAACAACCAUGCAUGCACCCAGCCAAGGCAGGAGUCUUGCAAGAAACUUGAGUGCCUGGAGAGGUGAGUUCAUGGUCACUGGAGCACAGAGAAGCAUGCGAAGGACACGGGGAAGGGCCUGGAAAGAUCAUCCAGGGCUAGAACACGAAGGCCUUUGUCAGGUUUGGGUUUGGACUGUAUUCUCCCAGCCAGAGAGACACAGGAGGGUCGUGAGCCUCGGCAGUCUGGCGGUACCAUCCGUGCUGACUGGGAGGACGGCUCGCCGGGAGGCAGGGCAACACCAGGAAGCUGGUCGGGUCCUCCAGCAGACAGCCAGCUGAGAGCCAGAAGGAGUAAGGUGGGAGAAGUUGAAGGAGGAGAGGGGGCAGGAGGUGGGCACCUGAGGAGACAGACGGGUCGAGUGAAGGUCCCAGCCUGGGUGAAAGAUGGAUCUUUGGGAGGGUUUUGAAGUGCCUUUGUGCAUCUGAGCAGAUGUCUCCAGUUGGAAGUUUGCGGCAUAAGCAAGAGAUCCUAAUUUGGGUAUCUGACUUUCAGGCAGGGAUUGGAGCCCCUGGCCCAGCUCCCUCGGUCAUGGUCAUGAGUGGAGGGUCUGGGAACCGCCCCAGUCUGGCUGAGCCCCUGCCAAUGCAGGUAAAAACACAGGGGUCUGUGGGGGUGGGGGACAGGAAGGACACUGCAAGCUGUAGAUCACUGUAAGCCUUUUGGACAAGAGUGCUAUCCUGGGCUUCUGCAUCUCUCGAACCUUCUGCUGGCUCUCCUUCAUACUUCAUAAAAAUUCUUUAAAGCCAGCUAUAACCACCACAAGAAAAAGCAACCCAAACAAAUGCUAAAAACGGCAGCCAGUGGCUCUCUGAGCCUCUCCACCUAUUUUUAUUUUGCUUGCACGGAGCUCCAUGCUAUAAAUAUGCUCAUGGCAUCCGCACAGGAACUCAAAUGCCAGCACAGCCGACAAAGCUGACUAACCACAAAAAUGCCAACUCACCAGACUGAGGAGAAAGAGCUGCUCUGAGCGAAAAUCAGUCAUUGCGGAAGAUGAGGCACAAAAGGAUUUGAAACCACAAUAAAAAUGAGCCUUAACCAGUUAUGAAGCAGUUGACAAGCAAACAAUGAGGCAUUCAACCAAGCCAACACCAUUCCCGAGCUCCAGUCUAGACUAAGUGGCACAGAAACGACUGACCAAGCGCUAAGGCAGGUGCAUGAGGAACUGAGAUGCCAGGUGGACUGUGCUGGAGUAAAGCCUCUCAGGAUUCCUGACACACGGUUGUAACCCAGACUUCCUGCUCACAACCAAACUCGUCGCUGCAGGGACCCUGGGAGGCAGUGGGAUACAUCACACAAGAAUGUUCCACAAGAAAAGGCACGGCAGCUGAUUUUGCUCUAAAAGAAGGAAAACAGAUUUCACAGACUCUAGUAAAUGUCCUACGGUGAAGACAGGAGACCUCCCCACGGGACUGGUCUGGUAAGGAUUAGGCAAUUGUGAACAACGCUUGGGGGACAGUCAUUAUUACUCCAUAAGAUAACUGCAGGCGUGGUCUGCAGUCAGCCUUAUCUUGGGAAAUGACAUAGAAAUCAGAUCCCUUCCUUAUGUACACGUGGGAAACAGCCUACAGAUGUCUACUUCGGGUGGGGGGAGGUGUGGAGGGGCCGACGCGCACAGAGGACAGGAGGGCAGACGUGGAUGUGUGUGUGCACGCCCACAUGGAACGUGUGCUCAUGCCAGGUUCGAAGGCCUGCAUCCACCACAAGGGGAGAGGACGCUGGGAGAAACUGCCUGUCGUUGAGGUACGUUUCUGGGGAGUGGAGGGAGGUGCAGUGUCCCUGCCCGCCCUGCGUACAGGACGCACUCAGGUGUGUGAUGAGCUCAGGACACAGGCUGUCCAACCUCAGGGCUCCUUUCUAGCAUUUCCCAACACGGUCCCAAAUUCAAACCAGGCCAGAGAAGCAAGGAGCUUAACCACCGCAGGCCUCCACGUCAGGGGAAAACCACGGCAUCCGGCUGAUUGGCAUGAUCGCCAACCGCAUCCCCUUCUGGGUCACUUAAAAAGGUAAUGAGUCUGUUUUCACCUCCCAUGGCUUUAAUCGGGGGCCCCGUCGACCUCACGGAGCAGCUGGGCGAUAUGGGGAAACAAUAAUGGGAAAUGAAAGAGGCUCCAAGAAUGAGGAACAUGGUAGAAAGCGGAAUGUGUGCACCGUGCGGUCUGCAUUCCCAGGAAAAGGCACCUCGAAAAGGCACCGCUCGAGCAUGAGUGGGGGAGGAGCAGAGAGAGAGGGAGACACAGAAUCCGAAGCAGCUCCAGGCUCUGAGCUGUCAGCACAGAGCCUGAUGUGGGGCUCGAACUCACAAACGGUGAGAUCAAGACGGGCUGAAGUCGGCUGCUCAACCGACUUGAGCCACCCAGGCGCCCCCAUCCCCACAUUUCAUCUUGCUCAACUCUGGACAGCCGAACACUAGCUGUUUCCUCAACCCCAGGCGUUGGCAACCUCCGUUUUAUUUUCUCUCUCUCUGAAUCUGAUUGCCCUGAGUAGCUCAUGAGUGGAAUUGUACACUGUUUGGGUUUUUAUUUCAUUUAGCAUGUCUUUGAGGUGCAUCUGUGUUGUAGCAUGUAUCAGAAUAUCCUUCCUUUUUAAAGUUUAUUUAGUGUGAGGGAGAGAGAGAGAGAGAAAGUGCGGGGGAGUGAGAAGAUCCCAAGCAGGCUCUGUGCUGUCAGUUUGGAGCCCGGCACGGGGCUUGAACUCACAAACCUCAAGAUCAUGACCUGAGCCGAAACAGAGUCAGAUGCUUACCCGACUAAACCACUCAGGCACCCCUAGCAUCCCCUUCCUUUUUAAGGAUAUUAUUCCAUUGUACGAUGUACCACUUUUUGUUUAUCCAUUAAUGAUUCACGCAUCAGAGGGCACGGGGUUCCUUCCAAACCAAACCUUUUGGCUCCCGUGAAUAACGAGGCUAUGAGCGUGGGUGUAGAAGUAUCUGUCUGGGUCCGUUUCUCUCAAUUCUUCUGAGCAUACAGCUAGGAUUGGACACUGUUGGGUGCCAUGGGAAAUCUAGAUUUAAUUUUUUGAGGAAUUCCUAUGAUUUUAAGGAUGACCAGCUUCAAAGAGUGGGUAGGAUGAAAAGAUUUAUUACUCAUUUUUUUGUUUUAGGAUUGCUCACCGUGAAGCUACUAUGAAGAUGCGUACUCCGGGGGAGGGCUGCAAAUCACGGUCUCACCCACACGGUCACCCCCCACUCCUCUUCAGCCCCUGGAGCAUCCUGGCAGGACAACACCGCUCCACGGGGGAAAUCCCUGAUCACAGUCCUCCUGAGAGAGGAGCUUCCUUUCUGCUCCGGACGGACAGCCUCCUGUCUCUCAACCCCCUAGGGUCCGAGCCUGCUCCUGCCCCCACACCCCAGGGACCCUGCCUCAAUCUCCUCUGCACGUCGUCCCGCCACUCUUCAGACAUGCUCUCCUCGGGGACGCUCCACCCCUGCUCACCCCUCGUGGCUUCUUCCAUUUCCUCUGCUGGCUCUCGCUCUGCCAUGAGCUACACGUUUAUGGAAAGUUGACAAUAAGGUGUAUUUGGCACGAUUCUGUCCCUGGCUCUCCUCUGCCUCACUGUUGUUUCUUACAGGACAGGAUUCUCCUUGUGGGUAACUCCCAUAUCUACAUCACUGCACCGGAUUUCUUUCCCAAGCCUGAGACCUGCGUUUCCAACUGCCGGAAGGACUUCAUUACUGACCCCUCAAAGCUGAUGUGACCCAGAGCAAACUCAGCUUCCCUCCAUUAUAUGUGCUUCUUCCUUUCUUCUUACGGCUUCCUAAUUUUGUGAGCGUCCUCCCAGGUAACCAGGAUCAAAGUUCUCGGGGCUUCCCCCUGGCCUUCUCCUUGGUCCCGUGGGCCCGACUUGUCUGCUCGGCGACAUCUCAAUCUCCGGUCUCCCCACCCCUCCCGGCUAGACUUCUGCACCCCUUCCAAGUGAAUCUGCUGCCAAGCUUCUAAUAAAUGCAGCAGACCCUUCUUGAGAACUGUGUGUGCCCACAGCCGAUCCCACAUGCCUCUCUGCAGGCCUCUUGCCCAGACCCCAGCUCCCUGCAGGCUGAUGUUGCACGGGGCACAGUCUACCGAGGUGCAUCGCGCUAGAGAAUCCAGGUCUGGGGAACGAGUUGGCUGGUGUUCACUCUGCCUGCCAGGCCUUUCGGGGCUGGAAUUUGGGACACAGCUCCGAAAGCCAAAGGUUGUAAGAGGCUUUCUCUGAGUGCAUUUGAACAGCUGGGCAAAAUAUCCUGGCUUUCAAAAAGAAAGGCUUUCUUCCUGUUUUCAGAAGUCACCAAACCUGUUUUCUGGUUUUUGAAGAAACAGGGUCACCUGGGCUUUGGCCAGGCUGAAACAGCCCAUCCCCUCAUCGGGUGGGUUUACUCAGGAGGACGCAACAUUUGGAUGCGGGCAGGUGUGUUUACUGAGCAGGGGUUCAAGCCUCCUCAUUCAGGGAAAUUCCUGGUAACUUUUCUGCCUUAAGACUUCCCACGG
Acinonyx jubatus (cheetah) is the source of this 6581-nucleotide long non-coding RNA. RefSeq lists it as uncharacterized. Lineage: Eukaryota; Metazoa; Chordata; Mammalia; Carnivora; Felidae. The record is from RefSeq and is a predicted model, not a curated record. The transcript is spliced from 3 exons.